Molecule: ribosomal RNA, 1540 nt
Filed under: Staphylococcus aureus
Lineage: Bacteria; Bacillati; Bacillota; Bacilli; Caryophanales; Staphylococcaceae
Also listed under: 1140 other names
Description: 16S ribosomal RNA
Rfam family: Bacterial small subunit ribosomal RNA
Source: RNAcentral
AGAGUUUGAUCCUGGCUCAGGAUGAACGCUGGCGGCGUGCCUAAUACAUGCAAGUCGAGCGAACGGACGAGAAGCUUGCUUCUCUGAUGUUAGCGGCGGACGGGUGAGUAACACGUGGAUAACCUACCUAUAAGACUGGGAUAACUUCGGGAAACCGGAGCUAAUACCGGAUAAUAUUUUGAACCGCAUGGUUCAAAAGUAAAAGACGGUCUUGCUGUCACUUAUAGAUGGAUCCGCGCUGCAUUAGCUAGUUGGUAAGGUAACGGCUUACCAAGGCAACGAUGCAUAGCCGACCUGAGAGGGUGAUCGGCCACACUGGAACUGAGACACGGUCCAGACUCCUACGGGAGGCAGCAGUAGGGAAUCUUCCGCAAUGGGCGAAAGCCUGACGGAGCAACGCCGCGUGAGUGAUGAAGGUCUUCGGAUCGUAAAACUCUGUUAUUAGGGAAGAACAUAUGUGUAAGUAACUGUGCACAUCUUGACGGUACCUAAUCAGAAAGCCACGGCUAACUACGUGCCAGCAGCCGCGGUAAUACGUAGGUGGCAAGCGUUAUCCGGAAUUAUUGGGCGUAAAGCGCGCGUAGGCGGUUUUUUAAGUCUGAUGUGAAAGCCCACGGCUCAACCGUGGAGGGUCAUUGGAAACUGGAAAACUUGAGUGCAGAAGAGGAAAGUGGAAUUCCAUGUGUAGCGGUGAAAUGCGCAGAGAUAUGGAGGAACACCAGUGGCGAAGGCGACUUUCUGGUCUGUAACUGACGCUGAUGUGCGAAAGCGUGGGGAUCAAACAGGAUUAGAUACCCUGGUAGUCCACGCCGUAAACGAUGAGUGCUAAGUGUUAGGGGGUUUCCGCCCCUUAGUGCUGCAGCUAACGCAUUAAGCACUCCGCCUGGGGAGUACGACCGCAAGGUUGAAACUCAAAGGAAUUGACGGGGACCCGCACAAGCGGUGGAGCAUGUGGUUUAAUUCGAAGCAACGCGAAGAACCUUACCAAAUCUUGACAUCCUUUGACAACUCUAGAGAUAGAGCCUUCCCCUUCGGGGGACAAAGUGACAGGUGGUGCAUGGUUGUCGUCAGCUCGUGUCGUGAGAUGUUGGGUUAAGUCCCGCAACGAGCGCAACCCUUAAGCUUAGUUGCCAUCAUUAAGUUGGGCACUCUAAGUUGACUGCCGGUGACAAACCGGAGGAAGGUGGGGAUGACGUCAAAUCAUCAUGCCCCUUAUGAUUUGGGCUACACACGUGCUACAAUGGACAAUACAAAGGGCAGCGAAACCGCGAGGUCAAGCAAAUCCCAUAAAGUUGUUCUCAGUUCGGAUUGUAGUCUGCAACUCGACUACAUGAAGCUGGAAUCGCUAGUAAUCGUAGAUCAGCAUGCUACGGUGAAUACGUUCCCGGGUCUUGUACACACCGCCCGUCACACCACGAGAGUUUGUAACACCCGAAGCCGGUGGAGUAACCUUUUAGGAGCUAGCCGUCGAAGGUGGGACAAAUGAUUGGGGUGAAGUCGUAACAAGGUAGCCGUAUCGGAAGGUGCGGCUGGAUCACCU